UCCGCUGUAGUCUACGUGAAUAAAACGACUCAGUGGUUAGGAUGCCUGGUUUUCACCCAGGAGACCCGGGAUCAAACCCCGGCAGCGGAA
This 90-nucleotide transfer RNA is filed under the name Galdieria sulphuraria. Its description in RNAcentral is "tRNA-Glu". It matches the Rfam family "tRNA". Rfam says of the family: Transfer RNA (tRNA) molecules are approximately 80 nucleotides in length. Their secondary structure includes four short double-helical elements and three loops (D, anti-codon, and T loops). Lineage: Eukaryota; Rhodophyta; Bangiophyceae; Galdieriales; Galdieriaceae. The record is from RNAcentral.